RNAcentral lists this non-coding RNA (25 nucleotides) under Mus musculus (house mouse). The record is from RNAcentral. Lineage: Eukaryota; Metazoa; Chordata; Mammalia; Rodentia; Muridae.
AGAAUGCCGAAGCUGUUCUUGCUGC